Molecule: long non-coding RNA, 1195 nt
Filed under: Heterocephalus glaber (naked mole-rat)
Lineage: Eukaryota; Metazoa; Chordata; Mammalia; Rodentia; Bathyergidae
Description: lncRNA (ENSHGLG00000039061.1)
Source: RNAcentral
AUUGUUAUGACUCCAGCGGGCUACCAUACAGUGAGACUGUUGGCUGAGUGAGCAGUGUUUCUGAGCAGAAUGUUACUACAUUUGACUUACAGGCUGCUGGUAUUUCCAUCUCUCUUGGAUCUACCCUCCUUUUCCUAGUUAAUAUAGUCCCCAGAGUUGGAGAGUUCUCUUCUCUUCUCAAGAUUGCCUGUUUAUGCAAAUGAAUGCAACCAGGCUUAUAGCAAGGCUGGCUAUUCUCAUAGCCCUAGGUGCUGAACUGCCUCAAAGCUACACAAGCAGAAUUAUGACAGGGUGUACAAGCUACUGAGUGUCCAAGGAACGGCAGUAACUCCAAUAUUGAUGGAUUGUCUUUAAGCAAGGGAAGAAGCUGGAUAGAACUUCUGGCUGAUGCAGGGGAAGGUGAAUGAACAUGACAGGAUGUCUGGAGCCACGGCCUGGGAGGACAUAAAGCACAGCAACAGGGAACCUUGGAGACAAGACCAGCAAACUUACAGAUGGGCUGCUUGUGGAGAAGAUGUACUUUGAGGCUUGCACUGUGGGAAGUUUCUACUGACCUAUCUUCAAAUUCUCCUGGUUGUUUUCUUAGCCAACUCUACUCUGUUGAUGAAACCAUUGAAGAUGCUCUUCAUUUUGGUUACUAAGCCACCUAGUUUGGCAGUGCUUUGUUGGAGCAAUCCUGAGACACUAAUAUGAGACAAGCAAAAACAGCAACAAUCACAAGUUCAUCCAGGAAUAACAACUGCUGUGCAGAGGUUGGUGCUUGGUGGAUAAUGAUAAUAACACAUGACAUGGAGAGAAGCCACUAAUUUCAAAGAGCAUCCAGAGAUACACUCACUGAGCUGGGUCUGAAAGGUUGGCUGUGAAGGAAGGUGAAAGCAACGAAGCUUUUAUGCUUAACCAUGUAUCUCUCACCUUGCUCAGAUUCAACUCAGGAUGCAGCCCAGGAAAUUGACCUAGCACAUGUACUGGCUUGCAAGGAUCUGUACAUUACAGUGAGCAAGUGGGAAGGGACACGUAUCUGAUUCCUUGUAGUUCCAAGAUAUGUGGUGAAGUGAAAAAGACAUGAGAAGGUGGAUCACAGUGUUGUGACGCCUGCUGCAAUCCCAGCUACUCAGGAUGCUGAGACAGGAGGAUUGCCAGUUCAAGCCUAGUCUGGGCAAUUUAGUAACACUGUGUCUGAAAAUAAAAGGAAAAA